AUGAUUCAAAAAAAUCUUUUAAUCACUUUAGUUGAUCAAAUAACCAAAAUAGUUUGCUAAUAUAUGCAUGAAACACUAAAUGUAUUUGGUACAAGUACCGAUUCAUACACCAUAAACAAUGUGACUAUUGUAAUUAAUAAUAUACUCUGGUCAUGCAAUUGUGAGGAUUUUACUUAAUUUCACAUUAAAUUUUAUUGUUCUUUGUCAUCACUUUCAUACUAUGCUAAUCACUAAUUUUUCAUGUGUUGCCAAGACAGGGAGUCCAUGAUAUUAUUUUACCUUCAUAACAAGCUACUAACUAAGUUUGGAAUAAUUAUAAAUUAUGUAUACAUUUUUAUUACAAUACAUUCCUCAUUUUACUAAUGAAAAACAUAGGCUAAAUUGUAAAUGAUAGGGUACCAUAAUAGAAUUAAUGAAAUUGAUUUAUUACACAUGAGGCUAAAUUGCAAAAGAUAAGAUAUCAUGGUAGAGUUAAUGAAAUUAGUUUACCACAUACGGGGCUAAAAUGUAAAAGAUAGGGUGUCAUAAUAUAAUUAAUAAAAUUUAUUUACAACAUAUGGGGCUAUAUUGAAAAAAUUAGGGUGGCAUAGUAGCAUUAAUGAAAGUGAAUUAGGAACAAUUACUUUAGAUAGUGAUGAUUAAUUGUUGUCACUAAUUUUGAACCAGUAACCACAUUGUGAUAACAUUGUAAGUAGUCAUUAUAGGGCCCAUUUCAAUGACAACAUUUUUUCAAGUCGUCACAAUAGUGAUUUCCCAGCACACAGGCCAGUUGCGCGCCACCUAUAUUGUGACGAUUAAUCCCGUGUUGUCACUGAUGAUGAGUCUACUCUCGGUCAACUAUGAUAACAUCAAAAGUUGUCACUAAAUUUGUCAACUGUGACAAUCUUUUCUGUUGUCACUGAGAAUGUUGUCACAAAAGGUCAAAUUU
Molecule: long non-coding RNA, 928 nt
Filed under: Coffea arabica (coffee)
Lineage: Eukaryota; Viridiplantae; Streptophyta; Magnoliopsida; Gentianales; Rubiaceae
Description: long non-coding RNA (CARA_LNC003367)
Source: RNAcentral